UACGAAGGGGGCUAGCGUUGCUCGGAAUUACUGGGCGUAAAGGGCGCGUAGGCGGACAGUUAAGUCAGAGGUGAAAGCCCAGGGCUCAACCUUGGAACUGCCUUUGAUACUGGCUGUCUAGAGUGCGGGAGAGGUGUGUGGAACUCCGAGUGUAGAGGUGAAAUUCGUAGAUAUUCGGAAGAACACCAGUGGCGAAGGCGACACACUGGCCCGUAACUGACGCUG
This 225-nucleotide ribosomal RNA is filed under the name uncultured prokaryote. RNAcentral describes it as "partial 16S ribosomal RNA". It matches the Rfam family "Bacterial small subunit ribosomal RNA", at positions 524 to 748 of the family's 1533-position model. The record is from RNAcentral.